UAGUAAAACGUGUAAGACUGCC
Molecule: non-coding RNA, 22 nt
Filed under: Arabidopsis thaliana (thale cress)
Lineage: Eukaryota; Viridiplantae; Streptophyta; Magnoliopsida; Brassicales; Brassicaceae
Source: RNAcentral